This is a long non-coding RNA of Gadus morhua (Atlantic cod), 691 nucleotides long. RefSeq lists it as uncharacterized. NCBI's taxonomy places the organism in Eukaryota, Metazoa, Chordata, Actinopteri, Gadiformes, Gadidae. The transcript is spliced from 2 exons. The record is from RefSeq and is a predicted model, not a curated record.
CUCUCUCUUUCUACUGGUGCAUGCUCUCCCUGUCACCCCCACCCCUCUCUCAGUGGGGUUUUGGGAUCCUGCUGGGCCGUAUUCAGGGGGCCCGGAGACCAGGUCAAGAUGCCGAUCCCGGAGUCCUACUGCCCCCCGGCCUCCUGUCUGCUCAUCGCAGAAGACGUCCUCAGCUGCAUCAGGCAGAAAGGAGAGCAGAGCUGUGGGGACCUGGUGGAGGCCUUCCAGGUGUGUGUGAAGACGCUCUCUGAGGGAUCAUGAAUCAACUGAAGUGGACCGCAUGCGUCCCCUCCAGUGAUGUCACCAGCGCGUCAGUCUUCUACUAGUGAUGAGAUCCAUACACCAGUGGUCCCCCAUGGUGUGAUACUAUCUCAAAUAUAUUAUGUAUGGAUCAUAUUAUAAGUAUAAAGAUAUGUCAUAUAUCAUAUAUGGUUACCAGAUGAAGCUACAGUUAAACAAGGCUACAUUUUGCACCAAGAAACUAAGUAAAAAGGAAGUGACAUUUACAGUGAAGACAACUUCACAUUCCACCAACAACGUUUGAAUGGGACUGCAACACCUCAACAGUACUGAACCCGAUCAAGAACACAAUCAGCAUAGCAACAACACAGCAAUCAUAGCACACUAAAGGGAAUUGAAUAGGGAUUCUUGAUUAUGAAGCAAUAAAGAAUAUUUUACGUGUCAAAAGCUA